CCUACGGGAGGCAGCAGUGGGGAAUAUUGGACAAUGGGGGGAACCCUGAUCCAGCCAUGCCGCGUGUGUGAAGAAGGCCCUCGGGUUGUAAAGCACUUUCAGUGAGGAAGAACGCCUGGUGGUUAAUACCCAUCAGGAAAGACAUCACUCACAGAAGAAGCACCGGCUAACUCCGUGCCAGCAGCCGCGGUAAUACGGAGGGUGCGAGCGUUAAUCGGAAUUACUGGGCGUACAGCGCGCGUAGGUGGCUUGAUAAGCCGGUUGUGAAAGCCCCGGGCUCAACCUGGGAACGGCAUCCGGAACUGUCAAGCUAGAGUGCAGGAGAGGAAGGUAGAAUUCCCGGUGUAGCGGUGAAAUGCGUAGAGAUCGGGAGGAAUACCAGUGGCGAAGGCGGCCUUCUGGACUGACACUGACACUGAGGUGCGAAAGCGUGGGUAGCAAACAGGAUUAGAUACCCUUGUAGUC
This 465-nucleotide ribosomal RNA is filed under the name Vreelandella stevensii. Its description in RNAcentral is "partial 16S ribosomal RNA". It matches the Rfam family "Bacterial small subunit ribosomal RNA", at positions 338 to 795 of the family's 1533-position model. The record is from RNAcentral. Lineage: Bacteria; Pseudomonadati; Pseudomonadota; Gammaproteobacteria; Oceanospirillales; Halomonadaceae.